CUGACGUCUUUGGGGAUAUGGUCAUAAAAUUGUUCUAAGGAUAUAAUUUGGAUGGCAUCCUCCAAUGUAGUGGCCUGGCACACCUGCAUCCAGCGUUGGGCCACCUGCCACUCUGUGAAGGAGUCUCGGCCUCCUUUUCUGAGUGCCCGAAAUUUUCUCCAGUACUCCUCAGGUGUGACUGGAAAUCUGACCAGUAAAAUCUCUUUGAUAUUGUCAUAGUUUUGAAUGUCCUCAUCAGGUACGGCACGGUAGGCAUCCGCUGCCCGUCCUGAGAGCUUGCUGCUGAGAACCGCUGCCCAAUUAUCUGCUUCUAGUCCUUGCAAUGUAC
Pelobates cultripes (western spadefoot toad) is the source of this 328-nucleotide non-coding RNA. Lineage: Eukaryota; Metazoa; Chordata; Amphibia; Anura; Pelobatidae. The record is from the annotation of a GenBank genome assembly.